This 588-nucleotide ribosomal RNA is filed under the name Menesiniella aquila. Its description in RNAcentral is "SSU rRNA". It matches the Rfam family "Eukaryotic small subunit ribosomal RNA", at positions 1 to 565 of the family's 1831-position model. The record is from RNAcentral. Lineage: Eukaryota; Metazoa; Arthropoda; Thecostraca; Balanomorpha; Balanidae.
AACCUGGUUGAUCCUGCCAGUAGUGAUAUGCUUGUCUUAAAGAUUAAGCCAUGCAUGUAUCAGUACAAGCCUCACUAAGGUGAAACCGCGAAUGGCUCAUUAAAUCAGUUAUUAUUUACUGGCCGAGACAGUGAUACAUGGAUAACUGUGGUAAUUCUAGAGCUAAUACAUGCAACCGAGCCCCAGUGCCGGCUCUCGGGUCGGCCGGGGCGCUUUUAUUGGCUGAAAACCGAUGACCGCCCUCGUGGCGGUCGUUCUCCGAUGAAUCACAAUAACAUUGUGUGGAUCGUACGGUCUUGUACCGACGACGCGCCUUUCAAAUAUCUGCCUUAUCAGCUCUCGACGGUUUGCUAGUGGCUGACCGUGGCUCUGACGGGUAACGGGGAAUCUGGGUUCGGUUCCGGAGAGGGAGCCUGAGAGAUGGCUACCACAUCUAAGGAAGGCAGCAGGCGCGUAACUUACCCACUCCCAGUUCAGGGAGGUAGUGACAAUAAAUACCUUACAGAGGUCUCGUUAACCGAGAUCUCUCAAACGGAAUGAGUACAACGUGAAUCCUUUAACGAGGAUCGACUGGAGGGCAAGUCUGGU